AUGUGUCCUGAACUCCCCUUGCAGGCCUCCCGCCUCCAAUACUGGAUGCAUUUUGGAGUAGCAAGACUGUAUUCGUGUCACCUGUUCCCCAGAUUCUAUCACAGUAGGAUAAGAAGUUUCAACUUAAAUAUUACUUGCACCGUAUCACCCUCUUUUAUCACGACCUGAUAUUUUAUUUAUUGUUUCAUUUCCCACUAGAAGGCAAGCUAUUGAGAGAUGCCAACAAAUAAUUGUUGGAAAAAUAAGUGAAUGAAUGGAUGGAUGCGUGAAUGACAAAUAAGUGUCAUAUGCACAAGCUAAAAACAAGGCAGC
This 312-nucleotide long non-coding RNA is filed under the name Sus scrofa (pig). Its description in RNAcentral is "lncRNA (ENSSSCG00065004538.1)". The record is from RNAcentral. Lineage: Eukaryota; Metazoa; Chordata; Mammalia; Artiodactyla; Suidae.